ACCCGCGUACAUGCCACCGGGGCAUCCCGGAGGCAGGAAAGGCUUCGGCCGGACAGGGAUGGGCAUGCGGCGCAUUAGGCAGUAGGCGGGGUAACGGCCCACCUAACCGACGAUGCGUAGGGGUUCUGAGAGGAAGGUCCCCCACACUGGUACUGAGACACGGACCAGACUCCUACGGGAGGCAGCAGUGAGGAAUAUUGGUCAAUGGUCGGGAGACUGAACCAGCCAAGCCGCGUGAGGGAUGAAGGUACAGAGUAUCGUAAACCUCUUUUGUCAGGGAACAAAGGCGGGGACGUGUCCCCGGAUGAGUGUACCUGAAGAAAAAGCAUCGGCUAACUCCGUGCCAGCAGCCGCGGUAAUACGGAGGAUGCGAGCGUUAUCCGGAUUUAUUGGGUUUAAAGGGUGCGCAGGCGGUCUGUUAGGUCAGCGGUCAAAGCCCGGGGCUCAACCCCGGCCCGCCGUUGAAACUGGCAGUCUCGAGUUGGAGAGAAGUAUGCGGAAUGCGCGGUGUAGCGGUGAAAUGCAUAGAUAUCGCGCAGAACUCCGAUUGCGAAGGCAGCAUGCCGGCUCCACACUGACGCUGAGGCACGAAAGCGUGGGUAUCGAACAGGAUUAGAUACCCUGGUAGUCCACGCAGUAAACGAU
RNAcentral lists this ribosomal RNA (645 nucleotides) under uncultured bacterium. RNAcentral's name for it is "bacterial SSU rRNA". It matches the Rfam family "Bacterial small subunit ribosomal RNA", at positions 167 to 810 of the family's 1533-position model. The record is from RNAcentral.